Molecule: unclassified non-coding RNA, 4986 nt
Organism: Vespa mandarinia (Asian giant hornet)
Lineage: Eukaryota; Metazoa; Arthropoda; Insecta; Hymenoptera; Vespidae
Source: RefSeq, a predicted model, not a curated record
GUAAAAUAAUAUGGUAUUAAGAAAAAUGACGAAGCAUAUCGGAAAAAUAAAUGGUCGCUGAAUUGACUUGGACGUACGGCGGCAGGCAGCGCUGUAGACCUGCGCAAAGGGAUUCUCAAAUCUGACCGUCACCUGUAUUGAAAAGAAGUAACAUUAAGAUACCGGCAAUAUGUUUAGUUUUCAUAAACCUAAAGUUUAUCGAUCCAGUACUGGAUGUUGUAUUUGCAAAGCUAAAUCAAGCAGUUCAAGAUUUACAGACAGCAAAAAGUAUGAAGAUGAUUUUAUGGAAUGUUUUCAAUUAGAAGAAAGACGUACUGGAGAGAUUUGUAAUGCUUGUGUGUUGUUAGUAAAGAGAUGGAAAAAGUUACCAGCUGGAAGUAAUCGCAAUUGGAGACAUGUUGUAGAUGCUCGUGCAGGGCCUGGUAUUAAAUCAUUAACAAAAUUUAAAUCAAAAAAUAAAAAGAAACUUAAAGAUGCACCUGAAAAAUUCGAAAAGAUAAUGAAGAAAAAGAAUAUAUAUAUAAAAUCAGAGACAGAACGCGAACAAAGUCCCGCAAUGAGUGAUGAUUUGAUUGAAGACUAUGUGCCAGAAAAUAGUAGCAAGUGUUCUAGUAGAACAGUUAGUCCUACUGGCAGUGAUGACAUUAAUACAGUUGAUAAACCUUUAGAUAUUGCACAAGAGGAUUCUGAUAUAAAAAAUGAUUUAACUGUUAAUGGCUUUAUUGACUUAUCUUAUUUCAAAAGGGAAAUUAUUUGCUGUGGUACAAUAUUCAAAGGCCCAUAUGGAGAAGUUAUAAUAGAUCCAGCAUUGAUAAAACCAUGUACAGGUUGUCUAUCUAAGCAAAGACAGCAACAAUCAAAUGUGUUAAGAAAUAGUCCAGUACAUAGUUCAGCAUCGGCGAGUCCUGUUCAUAGUUCUGCAUCUGCUAGUCCUACCCACAGCGUAGAAUCAGGUGUAGAUUCAGCGGUGACAAAACAAACAAGUAAAACAUUCAGUGAUUCGUCUUCUGAUUCUGGUUAUGACGAAUCUUCUAAUCAAGGGGUUGGUGAGGGUAGAUAUAUAUGUUAUGACACAAACUUAUUUUUUAAACAUGCUACCAUCAUUGCCCAGACAACAAAGGCUAUGGAAGGAUGUGUUUAAAACUUUAUAUUAAAUACAAUUGAAGAGUUUAUAAUGUUAUGAAUGGGGAUAACUGAUUUCUUAACUAGGCUUCAGUUUUCUGGGCCAAUCUUUGCAAUCGUAUAUGUGAAUACUUAUGUGGAUGUCCCAAAAUGCCAAUCAAUCUUUAAAUGUUCGGGUCCAAAAAUUCUGAAAAGUAAUUCAUAUUAACUAGGAUCUAAUGUUGACAUUGUACCAGAUGCAUUUGAAACUGUCUGUGCAAAACUCCAUGACGUUAAAAUUAAGGAAUCCAAUGAUGUGUUCAGGUAAUAUUAUCCUGAUCCACUUAGAGCAAUAAUAUACAAAUUAAAUUUUUAAUAAAAUAUCUGAAGUUUGAUAAACUUAUCAUAUCACUAUGAUGAUAUAUUUAGGCAGUAUUACUAGGGACGAAAAUUGGUUAAGAAUAUGGCAAUCAGAUUGGCGAACUGGACCAGCAAAUUUAAUUAAGAUAUUUUGAGAUGAGCAAUGAAGACACAAAAUAGGAAUGGGCUGAAUCAAUUUGAUACGAAAUUUAAGUAUAAUAAUAAAUAAAUAAAGGCUGGUAGUUCCUAGAUUUCAGAAAUGGACACGUUACAGAAAGAUAACACAAACUAAUGUACCUGUUGAAAACAGAUUAUUGUGAUUAUUCUCCAGAUCUUAUUUGAAUCAUACAUGUUUCAUGCACAAAAAAUUUUCUGAUAAGAGAUAUGUAUUUUAUUAGGAAAGUCCAUGUACGAUCGCAAAAGGCUUUCUUAUUUCUUUUUUAAUAUCCUUUUGAAUUUUUAAUUAAAAACUUAUAUUAAAAAAUAUCUCUCAAUCUACAGAACUCUUAUUUAAGAUAGCAGUGCAUUUUAUAAUACAUACAUAAACGAUUUUGCAUUUUCAUAGAUAUUUUUAAUGAACUUUAAAACUUGGUCCAUGUGGACGAGGGCUGAGCAUUUUAUAUGUGCAAUAUAUAUUGCUAAUUUUGUCUAGAUUCAAGUAUGUUACUAAAUUUUAAUAUAACUGGCUGAUAGCAACCUAUUGAAUCUGAUAACAACUAUUAGAAAUAUAAAUAAAGUUUGUGAAAUUUAUGAUCUACUAUCAUACUUUAAGUCCAUUUGACAAGAAAUUAAAAGCAUGGUUCAACUCUUUUCCAUCUAGGUAAGUUGUUCAGAAAAUGAACUCUACACAGGUUGUCUUAUUGUAUUGCAUUCACAUAUAUUCUUAUGUGUUGUGCAUAUGAAAUAUAAGCAAAAGAUGAGAACCUUAGAUUAAAUAAUUUCGAUCAAUGAGAUACUCAUGCCAGCAACUGCUAGAAAAGAAAAGAGUUAAUAUACAAAUUUUUAUAUAAUAUUAUGCACUGCCCAUCUGGCUUAAGUGAAUUUACUAUGAAUAAGGAAAAAAGAUUAUUUGUAUGAAGAUAAAUAUUGAAUAUAUAUGAUUUGUUAAAAGACGAUGUAAGAAGCUUGCCUUGCCUUUUGACAAAUUUUCAUUAUACAUUUAUAUUGACUAGGAGAGUCUAUGAUCUCUUUAUUGUGAAUAUUAAUUUCCCCUGUAACUAACAUUAUAAUUUACGAUUUAUAAUAGUAAAAAGGACGGAUCAUAUUGGUUAAAUAAAAUGAAAAAUCUUGAUAUCACACUAUGGAAUUAUGUUUAUAAUUUAUUUAUAAUAAAAACUAAUUAUUCAUAUAAGUAUUCUAUAAAAAUCGUACACUUCAUAUUAUCAUUAAUUAUUUAUCAAAUCUUUAAUCUGUGCAAUGAUCCUUCCUUCUAGAGAGAAAAAAAUAAUUGUUUAAUUUAUUUAUUUUUUAAGUCAAAUUUAUUGCAAUAUAAUAUUCCUUGCUAUACAAAAUUAUAUAUUUUUAUACAGAUUAUCUUUGCUUUUUAUGCUACAUUUUUUGUGUGUAUAUUGAUAGAAAAGAAAAUAUUAAUUAUCACAUUUUCCAGGUCAAUCUGUUCGCAAUAUUCUAAGAAUUAUUUAUUUUUGAUUAUCUUGUAAAUUGAAAUUAAUAAUUCAUUAUUUUCUAAGAAAAAUAUACUUAUAUAUAUAUAUAUAUAUAUAUAUAAGAGAGAGAGAGAGUCAUGGAUUAAUGGAUACCAGAAUAGUUAGGUUGAGUAGCAUGUGUUCGAAGAAAUAUGAUUGGGUGAUACAUACGAUAUAUUAUAUAUUUAAAAGCGUGUUUUUGAAAAGAGAAAAUGUUAAACCAAAAGUUUAUUGAUGAACAUUAUGCAGAAUUUAGAGGAGUCCAUUUUAUGUGCUGCUAACUAUUAUUGUCACAUAAUAAAAUGAUAUUUCUCAUGAAUAUGAAGAUAAAUUCAAUAUAUGCAUAUACUUUAACAGCAAUUUGAUUAAUUUCAAAAUAAUUGAUUAAACAUUACUAUAAAAUUUCUUUAGAACAAUCUACAAUGAAACAGGACAGAUGACAAGGUUGUGCUUAUAUAAUAUUAAGUCUAAGAUUUAAUCAGAUAUUUAUAUUAUCCUUAUGUCAAAGAAAUAUGUGUGCAUUUUUAUUCUAAUUAAUCGAAACCAAUGUUUAUACUAUAAUUAAGAUUUUUAUCAUAUAAAAACAGCAAUAUGAUUUAUAUUAAUGAUAUUGAUAGUAUAAUUGUAUGUGUAUUAAUUUUGGCAAAAUAUGCUAAACAAAUCCUUAAUCAUAUUUUUCACAUUGUAGCCAUUGAUAAAAUGUCUACAAAUAUGACUGAUGUAAGGAGUUCAAAUAUUCUCUCUCAUGAUGUGACCUGGCAGAUUCCAAACAAGUACCUUUUAUCAAGAAUCAUGCAAGAUUGUAAUUUUUUAAAUUAACUGCCAUAUCAGGUUUCUAAAAUUUUCAAAGAUAAAAGAGAUUUUGAUAACAAUUUAAAAAUAUUAUAAUUAAUCCUAUAUAUAUGAUAAAAAUCUCUAAUGGACUGAUAGUUUAGAAACCUGAUUUAAAAUAAUAUUAAUAAUUAUAAUAUGUAAAAGAAAUUUUGCAUAAAUCUUGCAAGUUUCUACUAUGAAUCAAUUACCCUAAUGCACUAUGAUAUUAAAUAUAAUGUUUACUUAGAAUAACGUGGUGCAACUAGAAACAUACAAAAUUUUCUCUAUCUUGCUUACAAAUUUAUAUAUAUAUGUAUAUACAUAUACAUACGCAUACACACAAACACAUACAUAUAUAUACAUAUACUUAAGAUCAGUGUUCGUCCUUCUGAUUCUUGUUAUUAAAGAAACAGGUUUUUCAUAAUAUGCAUUUAUAUUACGAACGAAUUGUCUUUUAUAUUAGAUGAGGAAGUGGAUAUAGAAUUUUUUGAAUACAUUAUGGCAGGGAUGAAUAUGUAUGUAAAUAUAUGCUAGGAGGCAUUCGAUCUCGCAAGAUGUUCUAGUUAUACGAUGACUUUUUCAUCAUUGUGCUACUUGUUAACAUCAGAAAACAUCAAUAUUAAGUACGAUUCUGAGACUGAUCGAUGUAUUUAGCAGAUAACUCUAAUUUACACAAAACUGUUAGAUGUAGGUAAAUAUUGUAACAUUUAUGAAUAUGCUAUGAAAUUCUAAUAAUAACAGACAAUGACUGCCGUAAUUAAUAUUCCAUAAUUACAAUGAUUAUUCUGUUUAUAUAAUGAUUAUUAUAUAUUUGUGUGUGUAUGUAUGUGUGUAUAUAUAUAUAUAUAUAUAUAUAUAUAUAUAUAUAUAUAUAUAUAUAUAUAUAUCUGUAUAUGUAUAUGUAUAUAUAUACGCGCGCGCGCGCACACACACAUAAAUAAUAUAUAAUUAAUCAAUUGAUUACAAUCAUAAAAGUAUCUUUGCAAUUACCACUCUCAUUGAUUUUAUGAUAAAAAGUGUAUAUAAUUGAAAAGAUUAUGGUUACAUAUAUAUAUAUAUAUAUAUAUAU